UGACAACAUCCCCUUUGGUCCUUGUGU
This 27-nucleotide non-coding RNA is filed under the name Mus musculus (house mouse). The record is from RNAcentral. Lineage: Eukaryota; Metazoa; Chordata; Mammalia; Rodentia; Muridae.